UUUACAGACGAAUCUCCAGCUAGCGUGGCCGUGACGAACUCUAAAUUACGUUUAACACGUUAAUGUGACUUUGUAAAUGGCCCAAGUCGGACCGAAACGUCGUCGUAAGCUCCUCUCUUCAAUGUUCAGGUCAUUUGCAUAAGAAAUGACAUAGAUUGAGUCAAAUAAGGCGGGUUAGCGUCAUCCAUGAACCACCUGUAGGUGAAGGUGAGAAAUAUACAGUGCCAACACUGACAGGCAGACUACACACAUGUUACCUUUCUAAUAUCAGUGACAACAUAAGAAGCGCAGUGAGCAAGUGUCCGAGGAUUGACAGGCUUGGUAUCUCUCCUAGACAGUGACAAAACUCAGUUAUGCUGAUGGCAGUGGCAGUACCUCUGGCACAGCGACAGCACCACUCUCUGGCCACCCUAGCACUCGUAGCUCAGGUCCACUAUGAGUCACACAGUAUUCAUAAAAAAACUCCAGUUUGGAGUGGUGGUGGUGGGUUUGGCAGCAGCAAUGCAGGUGUGCUGCAGGAGGGAUCCGGCUGGUCACCUGCCGGCACAACAAGAGGCAGCGGUAGUCUGGGUGGCAGCAGUUCUCCCAAGAGUGGCAUCAGCAGUGGCGGUAUCAAGUGUGCCUCGCUCUUCACUUGGCUAACCUGACAGAGCAUUCAGAAAGAGACCACAGUGAGCCCUAACAUUCUGGAGUUCCUGGAGUUAGCUCUGGAACCUCUGCCUGUGCCUGAGCCCCAAAACAAGUCUCCUGCUGCCUCUCAAGGAGAGUCGGUAUUCAACGUGGACAUAGAUACUUCAGUAGUUGCUGGUGGCAACGGUGUGCCUUAUGUUUACGUAUCUUUUCCUGUGGACAUUGGUGUUUACUUCCAUGUGCAGCCUUCAACCACUAGUGGUGGGAAUGGGACCAAGACUGUGGUGUCUACUCCAGCUGCUGCUGGUGGUUGGGGUGUAUGGAAGCGAAAUCCUUCUUCAAGUGAACUCCCCUUAUAACACCCUCACUAUGGACCCUCACACUAUUCACUUUAGCCACGCUAAAGGUAAGAUAAAAAUUAUGUAUGUAUG
Molecule: non-coding RNA, 1061 nt
Organism: Cherax quadricarinatus
Lineage: Eukaryota; Metazoa; Arthropoda; Malacostraca; Decapoda; Parastacidae
Source: RefSeq, a predicted model, not a curated record